This is a long non-coding RNA of Marmota monax (woodchuck), 351 nucleotides long. RefSeq lists it as uncharacterized. The record is from RefSeq and is a predicted model, not a curated record. The transcript is spliced from 3 exons. NCBI's taxonomy places the organism in Eukaryota, Metazoa, Chordata, Mammalia, Rodentia, Sciuridae.
AGAUAAUGAACAUUUGAAAUAAAGUCAGAAUUUGUUAAAGGGCAGAUGACAGUCAGCCUUGAGCCCUGAUGAUCCCAGGAUCCCUUCCAGUGGGAGAACUCUAAGUACCAGUCCAAGGUAUCUUUGGAGACUGGAUGUGCAGCUCAGUGGCAGAGCACUUGCCUGGCAUGUGAGAGGCCAUGGAGUCCAUCCCAGCACCACACACACAGAAGAUGUCUUUGACAGGACUCAAGCAUGAGAGGAUUCCAUGACAUCCAGUCAUCAUGUCUCCAUAGACUUCUCUUGGGGUGACAGUUUCUAUGAACUUCCUUGUUCUGAUGACCUUGAGAGCAUUGAGGAUGACUUGGCAGG